RNAcentral lists this ribosomal RNA (484 nucleotides) under uncultured bacterium. Its description in RNAcentral is "partial 16S ribosomal RNA". It matches the Rfam family "Bacterial small subunit ribosomal RNA", at positions 30 to 507 of the family's 1533-position model. The record is from RNAcentral.
AUUGAACGCUGGCGGCAGGCCUAACACAUGCAAGUCGAGCGGAUGAAGGGAGCCUGCUCCUGGAUUCAGCGGCGGACGGGUGAGUAAUGCCUAGGAAUCUGCCUGGUAGUGGGGGAUAACGUCCGGAAACGGGCGCUAAUACCGCAUACGUCCUGAGGGAGAAAGUGGGGGAUCUUCGGACCUCACGCUAUCAGAUGAGCCUAGGUCGGAUUAGCUAGUUGGUGGGGUAAAGGCCUACCAAGGCGACGAUCCGUAACUGGUCUGAGAGGAUGAUCAGUCACACUGGAACUGAGACACGGUCCAGACUCCUACGGGAGGCAGCAGUGGGGAAUAUUGGACAAUGGGCGAAAGCCUGAUCCAGCCAUGCCGCGUGUGUGAAGAAGGUCUUCGGAUUGUAAAGCACUUUAAGUUAGGAGGAAGGGCAGUAAGUUAAUACCUUGCUGUUUUGACGUUACCAACAGAAUAAGCACCGGCUAACUUCGUG